UGCCGACUAGGGAUUGGCAGGUGUUCCAUUGAUGACCCUGCCAGCACCUUAUGAGAAAUCAAAGUUUUUGGGUUCCGGGGGGAGUAUGGUCGCAAGGCUGAAACUUAAAGGAAUUGACGGAAGGGCACCACCAGGCGUUAAUGCUACAUAGCUCUAGCGCCCGAAAGUGGAACUGUGAAAGGGUCUGCUAGUGACUCCUAAUUGAGGAGUUGCGACACUGUCAAAUUGCGGGGAACUCCUAAAGCUGCGAGUACCAAGGCCAAAGGGAAACCUUUGAUUGCUGGCCGGGGAGAAAGACCCUGGGUAUGGUAACAACCUUGCAGAUGAAGUCCUCUUAAAGGGACUGAAAUGGACAAUCCGCAGCCAAGUCCUAAAGCUUCUAUUAGAAGCUAUGGAUGCAGUUCACAGACUAGAUGGCAGUGGGCUCCAGUAGUAGUGGAGCUUAAGAUAUAGUCGGCCCCCAUCUGAAAGGAUGGCCUAUCAGAGGAAGCCCUUAUGGGGCAGAGAGCUGGUAGGGAACCUUUACAUACAAAAGGUUCGGAGGAAGCGGGAGCCUGCGGCUUAAUUUGACUCAACACGGGGAAACUUACCAGGUCCAGACACGGGGAGGAUUGACAGAUUGAGAGCUCUUUCUUGAUUCUGUGGGUGGUGGUGCAUGGCCGUUCUUAGUUGGUGGGUUGCCUUGUCAGGUUGAUUCCGGUAACGAACGAGACCUCAGCCUGCUAAAUAGUCACGGGUACCUU
Molecule: ribosomal RNA, 743 nt
Filed under: Dunaliella primolecta
Lineage: Eukaryota; Viridiplantae; Chlorophyta; Chlorophyceae; Chlamydomonadales; Dunaliellaceae
Description: SSU rRNA
Rfam family: Eukaryotic small subunit ribosomal RNA
Source: RNAcentral